AGUAGGGAAUAUUGGGCAAUGGCCGAGAGGCUGACCCAGCCAUGCCGCGUGCAGGAAGAAGGCCUUCUGGGUUGUAAACUGCUUUUACCAAGGAAGAAAACGCCCCUGCGGGGGUAACUGACGGUACUUGGUGAAUAAGCACCGGCUAACUCCGUGCCAGCAGCCGCGGUAAUACGGAGGGUGCAAGCGUUGUCCGGAUUUAUUGGGUUUAAAGGGUGCGUAGGCGGCCCGUUAAGUCAGCGGUGAAAUCCCACGGCUCAACCGUGGAACUGCCGUUGAUACUGGCGGGCUUGAGUUCGGUCGAGGCGGGCGGAACUGGCGGUGUAGCGGUGAAAUGCAUAGAUACCGCCAAGAACCCCGAUUGCGUAGGCAGCUCGCUGGGCCGAAACUGACGCUGAGGCACGAAAGCGUGGGGAGCGAA
RNAcentral lists this ribosomal RNA (421 nucleotides) under Pontibacter soli. RNAcentral describes it as "bacterial SSU rRNA". It matches the Rfam family "Bacterial small subunit ribosomal RNA", at positions 353 to 772 of the family's 1533-position model. The record is from RNAcentral. Lineage: Bacteria; Pseudomonadati; Bacteroidota; Cytophagia; Cytophagales; Hymenobacteraceae.